Non-coding RNA from Ornithorhynchus anatinus (platypus), 138 nucleotides. The record is from Rfam. Lineage: Eukaryota; Metazoa; Chordata; Mammalia; Monotremata; Ornithorhynchidae.
GCCCUCUCAGGUUCACACUUGGAGAAUUUCCAGUACUCUACCAGUCUCAGCUAUAGGAGGGAGAGUUAAGCAGAGGCAUGUCCAUUCCAUUCCUAGCUUGGGCAAUGGUUAGUGAGUGGAAGGCAAUCUGCUAUAAGU